This 466-nucleotide ribosomal RNA is filed under the name uncultured delta proteobacterium. RNAcentral describes it as "bacterial SSU rRNA". It matches the Rfam family "Bacterial small subunit ribosomal RNA", at positions 338 to 796 of the family's 1533-position model. Lineage: Bacteria; Deltaproteobacteria. The record is from RNAcentral.
CAUACGGGAGGCAGCAGUGGGGAAUAUUGCGCAAUGGGAGCAAGCCUGACGCAGCAACGCCGCGUGAGGGAAGAAGGUCUUCGGAUCGUAAACCUCGGUGUGGAGGGAAGAACGGCAUGGGGUUGAACGGGGUAAGUGAUGGACGGUACCUCCGAAGGAAGCACCGGUUAACUCCUCGUCAGCAGCCGCGGUACUAUGGAGGGUGCGAGCGUUUUUUGCAAUUACUGGGCGUAAAGGGCGUGUAGGCGGCUUUGUAAGUCAGAUGUGAAAGCCCCCGGCUUAACCGUGGAACUGCAUUUGAAACAGCUUGGUUAGACUACGGGAGAGGGUGGCGGAAUUUCCCGUGUAGGCAGAAAUCCGUAGAUAUCGGGAGGAACCCCAGUGGAGAAGGCGGCCACCCGGACCGUAACUGACGAGGAGACGCGAAAGCGUGGGGAGCAAACAGGAUUAGAUACCCCAGUAGUCC